RNAcentral lists this ribosomal RNA (443 nucleotides) under uncultured bacterium. RNAcentral's name for it is "partial 16S ribosomal RNA". It matches the Rfam family "Bacterial small subunit ribosomal RNA", at positions 338 to 795 of the family's 1533-position model. The record is from RNAcentral.
CCUACGGGUGGCAGCAGUGGGGAAUAUUGGGCAAUGGGCGCAAGCCUGACCCAGCAACGCCGCGUGACGGAAGAAGGCUUUCGGGUUGUAAACUUCUUUUCUGCGGGACGAAGAAAGUGACGGUACCUCAGGAAUAAGCCACGGCUAAAUACGUGACAGCAGCCGCGGUCAUGCGUCGGUGGCCAGCGUUAUCCGGAUUUAUUGGGUGUAAAGGGCGUGUAGGGGGGAAAGCAAGUCCGAUGUGAAAACUCAGGGCUCAACCCUGAGACUGCAUUUGAAACUGUUUUUCUUGAGUGCUGGAGAGGCAAUCGGAAUUCCGUGUGUAGCGGUGAAAUGCGUAGAUAUACGGAGGAACACCAGUGGCGAAGGCGGAUUGCUGGACAGUAACUGACGCUGAGGCGCGAAAGCGUGGGGAGCAAACAGGAUUAGAUACCCCGGUAGUC